RNAcentral lists this ribosomal RNA (447 nucleotides) under uncultured bacterium. RNAcentral's name for it is "partial 16S ribosomal RNA". It matches the Rfam family "Bacterial small subunit ribosomal RNA", at positions 29 to 523 of the family's 1533-position model. The record is from RNAcentral.
AACGAACGCUGGCGGCAGGCUUAACACAUGCAAGUCGAGCGCCCCGCAAGGGGAGCGGCAGACGGGUGAGUAACACGUGGGAAUCUACCCAUCCCUACGGAACAACUCCGGGAAACUGGAGCUAAUACCGUAUACGCCCUUUGGGGGAAAGAUUUAUCGGGGAUGGAUGAGCCCGCGUUGGAUUAGCUAGUUGGUGGGGUAAAGGCCUACCAAGGCGACGAUCCAUAGCUGGUCUGAGAGGAUGAUCAGCCACAUUGGGACUGAGACACGGCCCAAACUCCUACGGGAGGCAGCAGUGGGGAAUAUUGGACAAUGGGCGCAAGCCUGAUCCAGCCAUGCCGCGUGAAUGAUGAAGGCCUUAGGGUUGUAAAGUUCUUUCACCGAUGAAGAUAAUGACGGUAGUCGGAGAAGAAGCCCCGGCUAACUCUGUGCCAGCCGCCGCCGUAA